This 497-nucleotide ribosomal RNA is filed under the name uncultured bacterium. RNAcentral describes it as "partial 16S ribosomal RNA". It matches the Rfam family "Bacterial small subunit ribosomal RNA", at positions 28 to 507 of the family's 1533-position model. The record is from RNAcentral.
GAUGAACGCUGGCGGCGUGCCUAAUACAUGCAAGUCGAGCGAACAGAUGAGGAGCUUGCUCCUCUGACGUUAGCGGCGGACGGGUGAGUAACACGUGGAUAACCUACCUAUAAGACUGGGAUAACUUCGGGAAACCGGAGCUACUACCGGAUAAUAUAUUGAACCGCAUGGUUCAAUAGUGAAAGACGGUUUUGCUGUCACUUAUAGAUGGAUCCGCGCCGCAUUAGCUAGUUGGUAAGGUAACGGCUUACCAAGGCAACGAUGCGUAGCCGACCUGAGAGGGUGAUCGGCCACACUGGAACUGAGACACGGUCCAGACUCCUACGGGAGGCAGCAGUAGGGAAUCUUCCGCAAUGGGCGAAAGCCUGACGGAGCAACGCCGCGUGAGUGAUGAAGGUCUUCGGAUCGUAAAACUCUGUUAUUAGGGAAGAACAAAUGUGUAAUUAACUAGGCACGUCUUGACGGUACCUAAACAGAAAGCCACGGCUAACUACGUG